CUCUCAUCAGUCACUCCAACAAGUUGUAACCCAGCAAAAAAUGGCUGUCUAAGAACUCACGAGUCCUGCUGUUCAUAGCGGCCUUUCUCACGGCGAUCUCGUUCCUUUCCUCUGUCUCCGAGGCAGCAAUUGUAGCAGGAGGACCUUUAAACCUCGGUCGUAAGCUUCUUCAAGAGUAUGGAUGGUAUCCACCAACGCCUGGAUAUCCAGGUCCGGGUGGACCACCAUAAAAUGUCUCAGAAAAUAAUAAACUUCAAUCUGGCAACUUAAAGAAAAAGGCACUAUUUCAAUAUUUGCAUUACAAAGUAUCCGAAUUCUUAGUAUAUAAAAAACUAAAUAAUAAUAUCGAGACACCUAUUUGUUGUAAUACUAUGAAAGAGGAGGUGUCCAUGUGAGAGCCAGAGUAAUGCAUAUAUAAUAGUGACUUUAAAUAAUAAUAUCGGGAUAUCUAUUUGUAUCGAUCUUCAUAUAUAUUGAUUGUUAUGGGGUUAAUAAUUCAAACCAGUUCUAGUUCUACUUUGUAAACUGUAUACCAAUAUUAUGAGAAGUUUUGCGUGUUUGUUUUGGCAGCA
Non-coding RNA from Camellia sinensis, 572 nucleotides. NCBI's taxonomy places the organism in Eukaryota, Viridiplantae, Streptophyta, Magnoliopsida, Ericales, Theaceae. The record is from RefSeq and is a predicted model, not a curated record.